UGGCAAUGAUGAGAUUCUACUUCAGGUCCGUGUUUCUGAACCCAGUGAUUGUAGUGGAAGUUCUGAGUAC
Molecule: small nucleolar RNA, 70 nt
Organism: Osmerus eperlanus (European smelt)
Lineage: Eukaryota; Metazoa; Chordata; Actinopteri; Osmeriformes; Osmeridae
Product: small nucleolar RNA SNORD18
Exons: 1
Source: RefSeq, a predicted model, not a curated record